GACGAACGCUGGCGGCGUGCUUAACACAUGCAAGUCGAACGGAAAGGCCCUGCUUUUGUGGGGUGCUCGAGUGGCGAACGGGUGAGUAACACGUGAGUAACCUGCCCUUGACUUUGGGAUAACUUCAGGAAACUGGGGCUAAUACCGGAUAGGAGCUCCUGCUGCAUGGUGGGGGUUGGAAAGUUUCGGCGGUUGGGGAUGGACUCGCGGCUUAUCAGCUUGUUGGUGGGGUAGUGGCUUACCAAGGCUUUGACGGGUAGCCGGCCUGAGAGGGUGACCGGCCACAUUGGGACUGAGAUACGGCCCAGACUCCUACGGGAGGCAGCAGUGGGGAAUAUUGCACAAUGGACGGAAGCCUGAUGCAGCAACGCCGCGUGCGGGAUGAUGGCCUUCGGGUUGUAAACCGCUUUCGCCUGUGACGAAGCGUGAGGGACGGUAAUGGGUAAAGAAGCACCGGCUAACUACGUG
Molecule: ribosomal RNA, 468 nt
Filed under: uncultured bacterium
Lineage: Bacteria
Description: partial 16S ribosomal RNA
Rfam family: Bacterial small subunit ribosomal RNA
Source: RNAcentral